AGUGAACGCUGGCGUUAGGCCUAACACAUGCAAGUCGAGCGGCAGCACAGUAAGAGCUUGCUCUUACGGGUGGCGAGUGGCGGACGGGUGAGGAAUACAUCGGAAUCUACUUUUUCGUGGGGGAUAACGUAGGGAAACUUACGCUAAUACCGCAUACGACCUACGGGUGAAAGCAGGGGAUCUUCGGACCUUGCGCGAUUGAAUGAGCCGAUGUCGGAUUAGCUAGUUGGCGGGGUAAAGGCCCACCAAGGCGACGAUCCGUAGCUGGUCUGAGAGGAUGAUCAGCCACACUGGAACUGAGACACGGUCCAGACUCCUACGGGAGGCAGCAGUGGGGAAUAUUGGACAAUGGGCGCAAGCCUGAUCCAGCCAUACCGCGUGGGUGAAGAAGGCCUUCGGGUUGUAAAGCCCUUUUGUUGGGAAAGAAAAGCAGCAGGUUAAUACCCCGCUGUUCUGACGGUACCCAAAGAAUAAGCACCGGCUAACUUCGUG
RNAcentral lists this ribosomal RNA (492 nucleotides) under uncultured bacterium. RNAcentral's name for it is "partial 16S ribosomal RNA". It matches the Rfam family "Bacterial small subunit ribosomal RNA", at positions 29 to 507 of the family's 1533-position model. The record is from RNAcentral.